ACGGCCAUUGCCAAUGGAUCACACCGGUUCUCUGGUUAGAUCACCGAAGUCAAGCAUCAUUGGGCGCGGUCAGUACUUGGGUGGGUGACCACCUGGGAACACCGCGGGCCGU
Non-coding RNA from Caerostris darwini, 112 nucleotides. NCBI's taxonomy places the organism in Eukaryota, Metazoa, Arthropoda, Arachnida, Araneae, Araneidae. The record is from the annotation of a GenBank genome assembly.